GAGUUUGAUCCUGGCUCAGGAUGAACGCUGGCGGCGUGCCUAACACAUGCAAGUUGAACGAAGACAUACCGACGGAAUCCUUCGGGAGGAAGAUGGUAUGGACUGAGUGGCGGACGGGUGAGUAACGCGUGGGUAACCUGCCCUGUACAGGGGGACAACAGUUAGAAAUGACUGCUAAUACCGCAUAAGCGCACAGUACCGCAUGGUACAGUGUGAAAAACUCCGGUGGUACAGGAUGGGCCCGCGUCUGAUUAGUUAGUUGGCGGGGUAACGGCCUACCAAGCCGACGAUCAGUAGCCGACCUGAGAGGGUGACCGGCCACAUUGGGACUGAGACACGGCCCAAACUCCUACGGGAGGCAGCAGUGGGGAAUAUUGCACAAUGGGGGAAACCCUGAUGCAGCGACGCCGCGUGAGCGAUGAAGUAUUUCGGUAUGUAAACUUCUAUCAGCAGGGAAGAAAAUGACGGUACCUGACUAAGAAGCCCCGGCUAACUACGUGCCAGCAGCCGCGGUAAUUC
Molecule: ribosomal RNA, 519 nt
Filed under: uncultured bacterium
Lineage: Bacteria
Description: bacterial SSU rRNA
Rfam family: Bacterial small subunit ribosomal RNA
Source: RNAcentral